GUACACUCCUGCGGGAGGCAGCAGUGGGGAAUAUUGGACAAUGGGCGAAAGCCUGAUCCAGCAAUGCCGCGUGAGUGAUGAAGGCCUUAGGGUUGUAAAGCUCUUUUACCCGGGAUGAUAAUGACAGUACCGGGAGAAUAAGCCCCGGCUAACUCCGUGCCAGCAGCCGCGGUAAUACGGAGGGGGCUAGCGUUGUUCGGAAUUACUGGGCGUAAAGCGCGCGUAGGCGGCUUUGUAAGUUAGAGGUGAAAGCCCGGAGCUCAACUUCGGAAUUGCCUUUAAGACUGCAUCGCUAGAAUCGUGGAGAGGUGAGUGGAAUUCCGAGUGUAGAGGUGAAAUUCGUAGAUAUUCGGAAGAACACCAGUGGCGAAGGCGACUCACUGGACACGUAUUGACGCUGAGGUGCGAAAGCGUGGGGAGCAAACAGGAUUAGAAACCCUGGUAGUCCCAUGA
This 453-nucleotide ribosomal RNA is filed under the name uncultured organism. RNAcentral describes it as "partial 16S ribosomal RNA". It matches the Rfam family "Bacterial small subunit ribosomal RNA", at positions 331 to 800 of the family's 1533-position model. The record is from RNAcentral.